AGUUUGGAGCUUAUUCUUGGGGACUAUUCUAAGCCUGAGGAACCAACAACCCAAGGUACUAGGCUCUUGGAGCCUUACAUUCUUCACAUUUAGAAGAGUCUCACUCUGGUAACCCAGGCUGAGUGCAG
This is a long non-coding RNA of Homo sapiens (human), 128 nucleotides long. RefSeq lists it as uncharacterized. The record is from RefSeq and is a predicted model, not a curated record. The transcript is spliced from 3 exons. Lineage: Eukaryota; Metazoa; Chordata; Mammalia; Primates; Hominidae.